RNAcentral lists this ribosomal RNA (218 nucleotides) under uncultured fungus. RNAcentral's name for it is "partial small subunit ribosomal RNA". The stretch from base 89 to 218 matches the Rfam family "Eukaryotic small subunit ribosomal RNA", at positions 733 to 864 of the family's 1831-position model. The record is from RNAcentral. Lineage: Eukaryota; Fungi.
GAUCGAGUCGAGUGGUCCACCUAACGGUGUGUUUACUGCUCUGGCUGGGUCUUGUCUCUUGGUGAACCGGGGUGCCCUUUGUUGGGUGUUUCGGGGAACCAGGACGUUUACCUUGAGAAAAUUAGAGUGUUCAAAGCAGGCUUAUGCCUGGAUACAUUAGCAUGGAAUAAUGAAAUAGGACGUGUGGUUCUAUUUUGUUGGUUUCUAGAAUCGCCGUA